RNAcentral lists this ribosomal RNA (441 nucleotides) under uncultured bacterium. Its description in RNAcentral is "partial 16S ribosomal RNA". It matches the Rfam family "Bacterial small subunit ribosomal RNA", at positions 338 to 795 of the family's 1533-position model. The record is from RNAcentral.
CCUACGUGCGGCUGCAGUGGAGAAUAUUGCACAAUGGGGGCAACCCUGAUGCAGCAACGCCGCGUGAAUGAGGACGUAUUUCGGUAUGUAAAGCUCUAUCAGCAGGGAAUAGAAAAGAAGGUACCUGAAAAAGAAUCCCCGGCUAACUACGUGCCAGCAGCCGCGGUAAUACGUAGGGGGCAAGCGUUAUCCGGAUUUACUGGGUGUAAAGGGAGCGUAGACGGAAAGGUAAGUCAGAAGUGAAAGCCCAAGGCUCAACCAUGGGACUGCAUUUGAAACUGUCAAACUAGAGUACGGGAGGGGAAAGAGGAAUUCCUGGUGUAGCGGUGAAAUGCUUAGAUAUUAGGAGGAACACCAGUGGCGAAGGCGUGUGACUGGACCGAAACUGACGUUGAGGCUCGAAAGCGUGGGGAGCAAACAGGAUUAGAUACCCCUGUAGUC